Molecule: ribosomal RNA, 544 nt
Filed under: Pterygotrigla hemisticta (blackspotted gurnard)
Lineage: Eukaryota; Metazoa; Chordata; Actinopteri; Perciformes; Triglidae
Description: partial 16S ribosomal RNA
Rfam family: Bacterial large subunit ribosomal RNA (bases 189-544)
Source: RNAcentral
GACACCCAACAGCUAGCCCCCACCCCAACAACAACAAUCCACUAUUAAUACCCCCAAAUAAACGAAUGUUAACCAAACAAACCAUUUUUCCCCCUAAGUAUGGGAGACAGAAAAGGAACUACGGCGCAAUAGAGAAAGUACCGCAAGGGAACGCUGAAAGAGAAAUGAAACAACCCAGUAAAGUUUAAAAAAGCAGAGAUUAAUCCUCGUACCUUUUGCAUCAUGAAUUAGCCAGUGCUGUUCAAGCGAAACGUGUUUUAGUUUGACAUCCCGAAACUAGGGGAGCUACUCCAAGACAGCCUAUGAAUAGGGCCAACCCGUCUCUGUGGCAAAAGAGUGGGAAGAGCUUUGAGUAGAGGUGACAGACCUACCGAACCUAGUUAUAGCUGGUUGCCUGAGAAAUGAAUAGAAGUUCAGCCUCCCGGCUUCUCUACUCACCUUUGAAUUACCCCAUCUGACACCCCACAGAGAAACCGAGAGGGUUGUCAAAGGGGGUACAGCCCCUUGAAAAAAGACACAACUUUUCAGGAGGAUAAAGAUCAUA